RNA transcript from Jaculus jaculus (lesser Egyptian jerboa), 2019 nucleotides. RefSeq lists it as uncharacterized. The record is from RefSeq and is a predicted model, not a curated record. The transcript has 12 exons. NCBI's taxonomy places the organism in Eukaryota, Metazoa, Chordata, Mammalia, Rodentia, Dipodidae.
UAAGAUUGGAGCAAGUACAGUAUCUGUCUGCCCCCUAGUGUAAGAGCACUCGCUGCCUAAAAUUCAACUUUAAAAGAAAAGGAGCUCUUAAAGGGAAACGACUUUGGGCUCAUGUAGGCAUAGGAGAAUGAAACUUCUGUACAUUUUAAUCUGAAUAAUUCUUCAGGAUUUAGAAUUAGUUGGCUCUGUCUUGGUUGGACUGUACUUGGAUCUCGCCGCCUCUACGAUUCCUGAGUCACUGGUGAAGAGGAUCAACAUAAGGAAUAUUCAACAAAGAAGUUUCUAAGAAAAUCAACAACCUUGGAAGAAUUACCAGCCACAUACAUCAAGGGCCAUGAGGUGAACAGGCCUCUGCUCCUUGCUCCCCACUAUGAUAUACUAUGUCAUCACAGGCCCAAAGCAGCAGCACCAGGGGAUCAUGGACUGACACUUUUGAAACUGUGGCAUUUCCACAGGGUCUGGUCCUUUGUGCAGCACUUUUGUACCAGCGACGUUCCCUGGGGCUGCUGGACUUCGUGGGACAACUGGGCAUCGGUCAGAAGACAAGAAAAGAAGCCCUGCUUCCCCUCUGUGACUUCACUCAGCCAGGAAGUGACAAGGCCAGAAAUGAUAGGAUGGGACCUUGCUAUGAGGCUUCCAAGGCAGCUGCUGUCUUGCAGACCCCCUGCACUUCUCCUGCAGCAGAUGGGAGGAACAGCCUGCAGAAGAGUGGAAGGUGGCCAAAAAUAACAGUGUUUUCCUGAUGAGGGCGAGAUGAGAGCCAAGAUCAUCAUUGGGCUCUGAUCUGUUUUAUCCUAGCAGCAAGUGGUCCAGCACAGAGCCACAGGACAUCAGGUACACAGUGCCCAUCAUCUCUACCAGAUAACAGGUUGAUGCUUCCCUGAGAAUGGCUUGCUGCAAUCCCAAGACUUUCAAAUGAGAGACAAGAGCCAAGUCAUGGAGAAUGUGCUUGCUGCUUGCAAGAAACUCAACAAUUAAACGUGCAGAUAAGACCACGUACUCUGAAGCAGAACUUAUGGAGAUCUUGGAAGACUGAGUCAUUCUCUUACCCUACCUCCUGCAAUGUAUAUCCAAGGACCCACUGAUGUGGGGAUGCUAAGGAGUAAGUCCACUCAUCCCCAUAACUCAAACCCAGCAGCCACAAGACCAUCUGUGACCUCUGUGAUAACAGCUUUGUGACUAAGCACCUUCAGUCUUGUGGACUCUGCUAAUAUUGGUUCUGCACAGGAAGUGGGAGGCAGCUGAAGACUUCUUGCUGAGAGUGACACCUUGCAAGACAGGCAGAGCAAAGGGCUUCUGACAGGUGGUAUGUUUGAUUUCAUGGGCCAGGUUUGUGGCAGUUGACAGAAGUCUUUUUUAUGAAGACAGAGGAUUUCUCCAUUGCCAUUUACACCUCAUCUCUGGGACUAGAGCUGUAUCAAAGUACACUCACAACUACAGUGAAUGAAUUUCACAAAGAUCGGUAAGGAGUUUUCCAGAUGGACAAUGUUGGAAACACACCUCCUACCUAAAGGGAACAUUGUGCAAUAUGAGACAUGAGGACUUACAAAAAAGUCACAAGAUUUUGCCCAACGUUGUGCCUUUUCCACCCAAAAUGUGGACAAAACUUGAACAAGGACCAUGCAUGCUUUGAUAAGCCACCUUUGUAUCAAAUAGGCUACAUCCAGUCUGCUCAGAGUGAUAUCGUGGAUGACAACAAGGAAUGUACUCCAGUUGGAACAAGACAGUUCACUUCUCCCUGUAACAUGGAGUCAGCAGGCUAUGUGUGUACAAGCAAAAUUGUCUGGCACCUGUGCAAGUGUUGGGUGAAAGAAGAACUAGAGAGAAUGCUACAUAGAAAUAUUUUGUUUUAGUGUGCAAUAUUUGAUAUUUUGGGCAUUCCUCCCUUUUCUGUACAAAUUUAUGCUCUUAAAAGGUCUGUUUUGGGCUGGAGAGAUGGCUUAGCAGUUAAGACACUUGCCUACAAAGCCAAAGGACCCAGGUUUGAUUCCCCAGGACCCAUGUUAGCCAGAUGCACAA